This 469-nucleotide ribosomal RNA is filed under the name uncultured bacterium. RNAcentral describes it as "bacterial SSU rRNA". It matches the Rfam family "Bacterial small subunit ribosomal RNA", at positions 29 to 507 of the family's 1533-position model. The record is from RNAcentral.
AAUGAACGUUGGCGGCGUGGAUUAGGCAUGCAAGUCGUGCGACAAGCUUCCUUCGGGGAGGUGGAGGAGCGGCGAAAGGGAGAGUAAUGCGUGGAUACCUACCCCCAGGACCGGGACAAUGCCCGAAAGGCAGGUAAUACCGGAUAAUAUCUCAGGAUCAAAUGGUGAAAUUCCGCCUGAGGAGGGGUCCACGUCCUAUUAGCUUGUUGGUGGGGUAAAGGCCUACCAAGGCUGCGAUGGGUACCGGGCGUGAGAGCGUGAUCCGGCUCACUGGGACUGAGACACUGCCCAGACACCUUCGGGUGGCUGCAGUCGAGAAUCUUCGGCAAUGGGCGCAAGCCUGACCGAGCGACGCCGCGUGCGGGAUGAAGGCCUUCGGGUUGUAAACCGCUGUCAGAGGGGAUGAAAUGCAUAGGGGUACUCUCCUAUGUUUGACAUAGCCUCAAAGGAAGGACGGGCUAAGUUCGUG